AUAUCCCAUGUACUUAUAUGCUCUGUGGAACAUGUUCUUGUAAAAUUAACAUAUACUCUAUUACCUCCUUAUUAAUGGGAAAUUCUGAGGGACUGCCUUCAUCCAUCACAAUAAGCUGGGCCCCUCAGCGUUCCCCGCCCCAAGCUGACAAGGCAAGUUCUGAGGUCCACAGGGAGCCAGGAGGGAAGGCCGUCUCUUUUCAUCCAUGCAAUGCCUACACUAUGCAGAAAAGGGAGGACCUCAAGACCAAGAAGCGAUUAUGUUGCAGCCCUUCUUCUGUGAACACGCUCAAAAACACACGAAUGUUCCCGCUAAAUCAGUGACUCCAUCAACCUUGAUCCACAGGCCUUGGCUGUGGCAGAGGGACUGCAGGAAGCCACGUGGCUGAGAACCCACCUUCUUAUUACCAUGUUGGGCAGUUUCUAGGAGUGCUUCCUGGUUUCAGAUUUUCUUCCCUUUCAAAGCAGGGUGGGGGUGGUGUAAAGCCCUUGCUCGGGCUAGGAGCCAGAUACGUGGCAGCUUAAUUUUCCCCAUUAUGCAGGACAAAUACCAAGAAGAAUUCCCAGGUGUGUCUGCAGCCGUGAAAAUGUGACAUGAGUCACAGUGUCUUCGGAGGAAAUGAAAGACCACAGGACGGGGACAUGGCAUCAUGAAAAAAGAUGCUUUGUGAUUUUCAACAUAUGGUGACACUUUUCCUAAUUUAGAGGGGGAAGCUGGGUUUUGAGUUUUCUUUUAUCCUCCCUCUUUGUUAAAAGCAAGAGAAAGAAGAUUUAAAGAACAUCUGUGUAUUCAAAUGAUAGAAAUAGAAUUAUACACUUUCAAAAACAAGUUCUAGUAUUUUUGUCUCUUUCAAAGAUUUCCGAAGCCUAUAGAUUUCUCUCGUGUUUGUGAGAGCAUUUCCUCUGAGACCUUAGACAUAGUGUUGAAGUUGAAAUGGUUUUUGUCUUUUUCCCCUUUCUGUUAACCCAGCCCCCACUUCAUUCUGUUAAUCUCCUUUAAUUGGACUUAAGAUAAGACUGAGUAUGUUCAAUAUUUUUAUUGAAUUGAGUUUUAUGUUUCCAGUCUGGAUUUAUAGACUGUUAAAUAGAAUGUUUUACGUUUCUCUCUCUCGCAAAGAAAAUAACAAAUACGUGUGGGACAGAGCCAUCAGUCAAUUAUAUCAGUGGAUUGUUGGCAACUCACAGGGGGAAAAAAAAGAGCAUUUUCACUCUACUCUUAGGGGAAAGCAAUUAUAUUUAAGAGCAGUAGAAAGCCAAAACUAGCCUGGAACUUCAAAACGCCUUUCUUGACUGACCAAGAAAAGGUACAGUGACUACAAUGACAAACCAGCCCCCAGCUCUUUUAGAAAUCUACCCUGCCUCAUGCUAAAGAGAAAGUAAGUGAUGUUUCAGCCUCGGCGACCAGGCAGGAAUAGAAAAAUACAUUGACAGUAGUUGGAUAGACCUUAAAAUUAAGUAAAAAUUUCUUAAUAUACAAGAUCUCAGUUUUCCCACAAACCUCCUUUCUGUCCAGAAAUUUCCAUGCCAUUUACUGCCUGAUCAUGUCAGGAAUGACGUUCUUCCUUGUUCUUGAUUUUCCUUCCUGGAAUGUUUUAAUCCUGCCUCUCCAGAACACUUUUCCCUACUUCUUCUAGGCCCUACUCACAGCAAUGUAGCUGACACAUAGCAUUAGCGUGCAAAACCUCAAAUCCUUUCUGACUUGGAACUUCACCCAGGAAAGACCUCUAGCAAAAGUGCUGGCCAUUGUGUCACAGGACAAACCCCUUUCAAAGAACAAAGCCAUCAUCAUCUCAAAAGCCACAGUCACCACCUGGACCUUCCGUCCUGAGGAAAGGAAUCUCCACCGAAUCUAGGGGGAAGACCCCCCCACCAGUCUGUGCAAAAGAUGAAGAAUUGAGUAUGCACCUACCUGUGCCCUUCCAUUUCCACCUCUUCCCACCUUCCCCGUUUCUUUUUCCGUUCAUUUUUUUUUCCACUUUAAAAACAUCCAACUUUGCCUUGGGGAUGAGCAGAAUGAAAUGUCACUUACCUAUAAAAAGAGACAGAAGAGAAAGCCAUGCAUCACAUUACACACAAGUUCUUUGAAAUCAAGGCCAGCUUCCGACUUUGAAACUGUAACAAUGAGUGAAUAUUAUUUUUUCAUCCUACCUUUCUAUAUUUAAUGAAACUCAGGAGUUCGCAAGUAGCCUAUCCCCAGGGCCCAGUCUCCCUUCGUGAUUUUCCUUUUGUUUCUUUGCCUCCUCCGUCCCUCUUCACCACCCUAGCCCCACACCCUCUGUCCCCGCUUCAUGGAUGAAAGGUCAGGAAGGAAUAAGGGGGGAGGGGUGCACAGACCCAGAGAUCAAGGCCAGCCCUCAGAUGUGGGCAGCAAGGUUUCGAGGCAUGAGGAGCCGCUUUUCACCUCUUUUCUCACAGGCCACAGAGAUGGGACCCAGGGUCAGUGCCGGCUGGUGCCUCUCGGGAGGAGGGAGGAAGGUCAGCUCCCUGCAGGGUGAUUUUCCACCUGGUGGCUUCUGGGCUCUUUCAAAUGACUCUGCUCUGAGUCUUCCUCCUCUCUCCCUCCCUCACCCUCACCCCCUCCGCCCUCCUGGUUUGGGUGUGAAUGAAUUCACCCAAGGUCUCCAUCCCCCUCUUCAUCCUGCAGCAUCUGUCUUUCAGACCUGCUUCUACAGAAAACCUCAUUAUUGCAGCACCCUGAGGCCAACAACCACCUGAAUGGGUCAUUGUGUUCAGUCCCCUGCCUCAAUACAUGAUGCAAACUGGCCCACCCGAGUCCUACGGGACACUUUGAGAACCCUGAGAUACUGAGUCCCCGCCUUGCCCGGCUCCUGGCCGCAGAGGCUCCCUGUCUUCAUGCAACAAGCUCCUUGUGGCCGACUGAUUCGGUUCUGUCGGCUGUAAGGAAGCCAGGCUCUGAGCAUUCUACUUGCAAGAACAGCCCCUCACCCACCACGCUAUGUAGCGGAUCCUUCACGUGCUCACAUAUUGGAAAAUUGGCUUCAGGGUCCUGCCAGUGUCUUCUUCUUCUUAUGCCUGAAUAACUCAUUUCCUUUUAGACUCUUCUUAAAGGUUUCAGUUUUCCAUCUUUCCUCCUCCAAGCUCCUCUGAGACCCUCCGUGGAGGACAGCUCAGAGCUAAGCCCUGGAGAGAAAAGCAGCCACGUGUCCCCCGAUUCUGUUGCUGCAUCCCCCAAAGAGAUUUCCAACCAAGAUGCUCUGCCAGAAAUGGAAUUACGGUCAAAUAUUGCAUCCCGAUCACAUUGGUAUGUUAAAGACUUGGAGAGGGUUCGAGGUAAAGAUCUAUGCUGAAACUUUUCCUAACGGUAUUUGACUCAGAAAUGUUUCUUGCUAUAUAUAAACUAAAACACCGUACUUCAGAAGGAUGACUACUUUUUCUCUCAUUAUGAAUGUAAAACUAAAUACAAUUGAGUUGGUAUUAUCACAAGCAGUGGCCAGAGGACCUUGAAGUCGAUGGCCCGGCCACCAUGCCCAGCUAAUUUUUUGUAUUUUUAUUAGAGACAGGGUUUUGCCAUGCUGUCCAGGCUGUUCUCUAACUCCUGACCUCUGGUGAUCCGCCCACCUCGGCCUCCCAAAGUGCUGGAAUUACAGGCGUGAGCCACCGCGUCCGGCCGCUUACACCUUUUAAAGCUUCUGAUUCUGCUGUCUCUGCUCUGUGGCUUUGCAUCUGGGCAAGUUUCUCCGCAGACCAGGAACCUCUAAGUCGGGGGAGGAAAGAGAGGUCGCUGAAUCAGAGCAAGGCAUGCCGUCCUCGUCUGCAUCCUCUAUUACUCUUGAAUAAGAGAGAAUGCGAGGACAAACGGGCAUCAGCAUAGUGACGUGUCCAUGUAGGUUCACGAAUGUAAGAGCUGCACCACGUGGGUGUGGAAUGUUAACAGUUGGGGAGGCUGGGGCAGUGGGAAAAGGGGUCUAUGGGAAUGCUCUGUAUUUUCCCCUUAUUUUACUGGAACCUAAAACUGCUCCAAAAAUAAAGUUUAUGAAUGAAAAC
This 4004-nucleotide long non-coding RNA is filed under the name Homo sapiens (human). Its description in RNAcentral is "non-protein coding NTM-AS1:3". Lineage: Eukaryota; Metazoa; Chordata; Mammalia; Primates; Hominidae. The record is from RNAcentral.